GGUACCUUAGCUCAGUUGGUAGAGCAAUGGACUGAAAAUCCAUGUGUCCCUGGUUCGAUUCCUGGAGGUACCACCA
RNAcentral lists this transfer RNA (76 nucleotides) under Flavobacterium sp. RNAcentral describes it as "tRNA-Phe". It matches the Rfam family "tRNA". Rfam says of the family: Transfer RNA (tRNA) molecules are approximately 80 nucleotides in length. Their secondary structure includes four short double-helical elements and three loops (D, anti-codon, and T loops). Further hydrogen bonds mediate the characteristic L-shaped molecular structure. tRNAs have two regions of fundamental functional importance: the anti-codon, which is responsible for specific mRNA codon recognition, and the 3' end, to which the tRNAs corresponding amino acid is attached (by aminoacyl-tRNA synthetases). tRNAs cope with the degeneracy of the genetic code in two manners: having more than one tRNA (with a specific anti-codon) for a particular amino acid; and 'wobble' base-pairing, i.e. permitting non-standard base-pairing at the 3rd anti-codon position. The record is from RNAcentral. RNAcentral also lists the same sequence under 3 other names. Lineage: Bacteria; Pseudomonadati; Bacteroidota; Flavobacteriia; Flavobacteriales; Flavobacteriaceae.